AGCAUAUACUUAAAUAAAGAUGUGCAUGUGUGAUGGAGUAAAUGAUAGUGAUGAUGAAAAUGCAUAAGUGAUAACUUACUUCUCAUUGCUCCUCAUAUUGCUAUCUCUUCUCUUCUUUGAUCUUUGCUUUGGGAGAACAUGGGCUAUCUUUUUCUCUCUUUUUUUCAGGUGGGUAGUAGAUACCCCUAAUUCUACUGUCGGACACUUGUCCAUUUUUUCCGCUCAAGUGGGCAUCUUUGUACCCCUAAUUCUUCUUCGGACACUUGUCCAUUUUUACCUCUCGUCUCACUCUUUUUCUUUCUUUUCCGAGGUUUCGGGCACUUGCCCCUUUUUAUUUCCUCGUAUAUUUUUGCAUAACCCAUGCCUCUUCUGCAUUGAAUCUUUUUAGAGAGAGAGAGUAACAGUACUUGGGACAGUGAGUGAUAAUAUAUUUUAGCAAUUUUAAUGAUUGAUAAUGAACGUUGUGGUAGAUGUGUGCAAGUGAAUAUCUUAAUUUAACCACAUGAAAAGCUCCUAAGGGUCUACACAGCUCGAUCAAACUCAAUGUAAAUAUAGUGAAAGAUGUUAUAGCAAGUAUGGCUGUGGUAGGUAGUUUUGUUAUGCUAGGAACUCAUCAUGUGACUUGUAAGUUUUCAAAAUAAAUCUCCAGAACUUAGUGUAGUAGGAACAAGAUAAACAACAGCUCAACUUUAUAUCAUGCCUUUCUCUUACCUAGACUUUAGUUUUAUGCUUCCCAAAGAUAGUAAUUUUAGUUUUAGUAAUUCCUGGAAGAACUCUAAUAUAAAAGCUAGGUACUUGUAAGUAAGCAAACAGAACAACUGUUCAUCAUUUCCAUCAUGCAUAUUUUUGGUCUUUUUAUUUUUUUUUCUAGAGAUUAAACUUAGCAGAAAAAUAAAGCACACUUAUCUACACACUCUUUUUAUUUUGUUUUCAUGUUUAUAAAGUGCAAUAAUUUAAAGCAAGAAAAUAUUUAUUUGGUUUUCUAGGUUUUUCCUUUAAAAUAAAAUACUAAAAUAGAAUAGAAUAAAUAAGAAGAGCAAAUAAAAACUUACUUGAUAAAUUUGGAGGAACUCCCCCAAGCUGGAUGUUGACGUCGGUCUUUACCCGAUGUUCCAGAACCGCAUCAUGGUUGUGAUGUUGUCGUUCAUUGUUGUUGUAUCUUGUCUCAGCUCUUCUACUGCAGCGGCAUGGUCCUGGUUUCAUUUUUGUUGCUCUUCCAGGAGUCUUCCAUGUUCUGCUUGCGUGUUCUGGAUGUCGAGGAGGGUGUUGUCGGUGCGAGUGAAGAAAGCACCGGCCUCUUGAUAGUAGUCAUUCGUGAAAGCGUAGGAGGCGUCGGAGUAUCGUCCUGCAUCAAAUUGGGGCGGAGGUCUGGAUCCUGAGGCUCCAUAUGGAUCAGUGGAGUACCUGCCCGUAUGAAAAGGCGG
Molecule: long non-coding RNA, 1424 nt
Filed under: Sorghum bicolor (sorghum)
Lineage: Eukaryota; Viridiplantae; Streptophyta; Magnoliopsida; Poales; Poaceae
Description: long non-coding RNA (SBIC_LNC000821)
Source: RNAcentral